GCGGAAGGAUCAUUAUCGAAAAGCAAUCCGGGGGGGAGGCGACCGAGC
RNAcentral lists this ribosomal RNA (48 nucleotides) under uncultured fungus. RNAcentral's name for it is "partial 18S ribosomal RNA". Lineage: Eukaryota; Fungi. The record is from RNAcentral.